Long non-coding RNA from Gasterosteus aculeatus aculeatus (three-spined stickleback), 280 nucleotides. Lineage: Eukaryota; Metazoa; Chordata; Actinopteri; Perciformes; Gasterosteidae. The record is from Ensembl.
AUUCUGAAUGUUUACUCAAUGAGGAACCUUUAGGCUACAUUAUUUCAGUUACUGUGGUCCAGGGGUCAAUCAUCUCAGAGAUGGGACAACACCCCCCCAGAGAGCACCUCCUGUUGGCUGCACAGGGGAACUGCACCAUCACAAGUAGCUGGUCGUCGCUCAAAGAGGCCGUGACGGAGGGAGGACUGAAGGCUUGACGGAGGGGGAGAGAGGGUGUUCAUUUUCACAUUCAACAUCAAAAAGGUGACACUACUUUAACAAAAAAACGCGUUAAACCAAG